Molecule: ribosomal RNA, 496 nt
Filed under: uncultured bacterium
Lineage: Bacteria
Description: bacterial SSU rRNA
Rfam family: Bacterial small subunit ribosomal RNA
Source: RNAcentral
AUCCUGGCUCAGAUUGAACGCUGGCGGCAUGCUUUACACAUGCAAGUCGAACGGUAACGAGGGAGCUUGCUCCGCUGACGAGUGGCGGAACGGGUGAGUAAUGCAUCGGAACAUGCCCAGUCAGUGGGGAUAACUACGCGAAAGCGUAGCUAAUACCGCAUACGCCCUGAGGGGAAAGUGGGGGAUCUUAGGACCUCACGUGAUUGGAGUGGCCGAUGUCAGAUUAGCUAGUUGGUGAGGUAAAGGCUCACCAAGGCGACGAUCUGUAGCGGGUCUGAGAGGAUGAUCCGCCACACUGGAACUGAGACACGGUCCAGACUCCUACGGGAGGCAGCAGUGAGGAAUAUUGGACAAUGGGCGAGGGCCUGAUCCAGCCAUGCCGCGUGCAGGAAGACCGGCCCUAUGGGUUGUAAACUGUCUUUUGGUACGGGAAGAAACCACCCCCUCGUGAGGGGGCUUGGCGGUACCGUAAGAAUAAGGAUCGGCUAACUCCGUG